RNAcentral lists this long non-coding RNA (787 nucleotides) under Heterocephalus glaber (naked mole-rat). RNAcentral's name for it is "lncRNA (ENSHGLG00000039293.1)". The record is from RNAcentral. Lineage: Eukaryota; Metazoa; Chordata; Mammalia; Rodentia; Bathyergidae.
UGGCUUUAUUGUGACAUCAUCUUGAGUGUACAGUGUUACCACAUGAUGUCACUUUGUUACCCUUCAUCACUUCGUUAAGGUGGAAGCUGACUAAUUUUUCCUUUACAUGGGAAAUCUCUGGGAAGUAAGACCAGCCCUUACUUAAAGGGAGUGGGGACUAAGUCCCACCUAUCGGAGGGGGUAGUAUGCAUGAUUAGUUCUAUAGAGAAUAUUUGUUUUCUCCCCAUUUAUUUGUUCAGUCAUUUACGUAUAUUCAUAUGGACUCUUUAUCCAAUGCUGUAUUAUUUAUUUGUCAUCCAAAUGAUUCCAACUUUGACUAAUGGGGAGCUCUUUCAGAUUGGCCCCUAUAUCCCUUUGAUAACCCUCAUCCCUUUUUUUUUUGAGAAUUUCCUUUUAAUAUUUGUGCACUGUACCAAGCUCAUCUACGUUUCCUUGCCCUACCCCUAGAAUGAGCCAUUUCUCCAAGGAGCCCUGAUGCCUCUCAGAACAGAGUGCUCCGCCGCCCGCCCCCCCCAGUACUGAGGAUCAAAUUCAAGACCUUGCACUUGCCAGAGGAACAGAGUUCUUAAACAGAAUAAAAGACUGGGCUACAUGUCUACUACCUGGAAUGUGAAUGUGACAUCUGUCAUUCUGCUGCCAUUUUGGGCCAUGAGGAUGAGCGAAGUGGACAAACACCAUAAUGAUGGCAGACCAGUGAGCUAGGUGGAGCCUGUAUUCCUGCAGACUUCAUGAGCAAAGCCACCAUACCUGUCCUCAGCCACCCACUCCUGUCCUUUACCUGAGAGAG